UUUGUAAAAAAAAAAAAAAACAAACCUUGGAAGAUUCAGGAACAAAGCUUCUGUGUGAAGGAUUAAAACAGCCAAACUGUAUCUUAUGGACAUUGAGGUUGUACCGAUGCCUUAUCUCUCCUGCUUCUUGUGGGGUACAGGCAGCUAUUCUCAGUACCAGUCAGUGGCUCACUGAUCUGGAAUUUAGUGAAACCAAAUUGGAAGCUUCAGCUUUGAAAUUGCUUUGUGAAGGCUUAAAAGAUCCAAACUGCAAAUCAUGGAAGCUCAACUUGAGCACAUGUUACCUAACAGAUGCUAGCUGUAUGGGGCUCUCUUCUUUCUUGCAUGUGAGUCAGACUUUAAAAGAGCUGUUUGUGUUUGCCAAUGCCCUAGGGGACACAGGAGUAUAGCCUCUCUGUGAAGGUCUGCAGCAUGCAAAGGCUAUUCUCCAGAAUCUUGUGUAAGUGUCUGAUUAUCCUUGUUCUCACAGA
Molecule: long non-coding RNA, 470 nt
Organism: Lontra canadensis (Northern American river otter)
Lineage: Eukaryota; Metazoa; Chordata; Mammalia; Carnivora; Mustelidae
Exons: 3
Source: RefSeq, a predicted model, not a curated record